UUUUUAAAUUGAGAGUUUGAUCCUGGCUCAGGAUGAACGCUGGUGGCGUGCCUAAUACAUGCAAGUCGUACGCUAGCCGCUGAAUUGAUCCUUCGGGUGAAGUGAGGCAAUGACUAGAGUGGCGAACUGGUGAGUAACACGUAAGAAAC
This 149-nucleotide ribosomal RNA is filed under the name Oenococcus oeni. RNAcentral's name for it is "partial 16S ribosomal RNA". It matches the Rfam family "Bacterial small subunit ribosomal RNA", at positions 1 to 125 of the family's 1533-position model. The record is from RNAcentral. Lineage: Bacteria; Bacillati; Bacillota; Bacilli; Lactobacillales; Lactobacillaceae.